Molecule: long non-coding RNA, 1361 nt
Organism: Raphanus sativus (radish)
Lineage: Eukaryota; Viridiplantae; Streptophyta; Magnoliopsida; Brassicales; Brassicaceae
Exons: 5
Source: RefSeq, a predicted model, not a curated record
AUACCAAUUGUGAAGGAUAUAGUAUGUUCGAUUUAGCUAGAUAGGUUAAGAUAAUCUACGACACACGCAAGUUUAACGAGUUCCUGGUAUCAACCAGUACGUCUCGUGUGGGAUCUCUUGCCCACAAACUUCACUAGAAUCAAAAGGAGUUUACAAGCACUAAUGAUCUCUCUUUGCUCUGUCUCAAUCUCAGGUGUUCAAGCACAACCUCAAGAUAGAACAGCAGCCAACAACAACAAGAAAACAACGUAUGAAAAACCUAGGUGUUACAAGAUGUAUUUAUAAGUCUUGCUCCACCGACUUGUCUUUCACGUUUGCGAGUGGGCCUUUGUGCACUAAAGCCCAAGUCUCUCUUCUUACUCUUAUGUUGAUGAUGCUUGUUAUGGGCCGACAGGAUGGAUUUGGGCUGAGUCACAUUAGUUCACAAUCUCCACUUUGACUCACCAAACCCUGAUGAAAGAUGCCGUAGCAGCUCCUUCCUCUUUCGAUCUUCCGACAGUUUUCGACAUCUUGUCGCCACCUCCUGUCGAUUGCUCCUUUCCUGAUUAACUAAAGAACCAGCUUCGUUCUCUUAUUAACCUCCGUCGACCCCUGUCUCCUUUCAAUCCCUGCUCUAGUGAAGCUCCGAACAUCCGCCUCCAAUGGCGUGUGUUCAAUACUCUGUCAUUCUGCUCACUCAGUUCCUCGUGAAGAUCCCGAAUCAAAUCUCAGAGAUGCGUUCAACACUGUUUUCUUCAGUCAAGUCUUGGGAAAACAAUAUAAUCCUCAAACCAUAUCUGUAGAUAACCACAAUUAAUCCAAUGUCCAGAGAACCUCUCAGCCAAGUUAACUUCCAGUGAACAAGCUCCAAGCUUCCUGACAAUUCAGCAGGCAAAGCAUUACUGCUUAGAGAUACUACCUGCCUAUUUUACUUAGACUCGUAUUGAAAGAACUCCGUGAUAGGUCCAACCUCCACUUAAAUGUUCUCUUCCUUGCACAACUGCUCUUGAGUCUCGUAGAGUUGCUCAGUCCUAUUUCUUUAAGAAUAUAGCGCAACUAAUAUACUUCUAUUUUCUGUCGUUUCCAUACAAGCUUCCGGUGUCCAGUUACAGCCACAGAAUCGAUGAGCUUCUCCCACUGUACACACGCUUCAAGGUUCUCAAACGUCAACAAAACGGAACCUGCAAGGACUACAAUUCUUCUUAGGCGAUCUUUAGAAGCUCCAGGCAUUCCCGGAACUUAUUUCCUGGUAACAACUCAAGGACUUCAGAAUACGGAACCGCACAAACUGGAACUCCCAACUCCUCGCAACAGAUAAGUGAUAACUCGCCUUGUAGACUUUCUAUCUGCUCAAACCAACGCUCUGAUACCACUUGUUAGGC